CAUUCAUCAAUUUGACAAGCAAAAUUUGGUAAUGAUUUUGGGAUAUCGGAGCAAAUAAAAUUACUUUUUCUCAGAAAUAAAGCAAGCAACACGAAUUUUGCCAUUAGACUAUAAACCGGUGAUGUACUAACGGGGAAUUUUUAAAAACCCACAUUGAAAAUGUAAGCAGGGCAGAUUCUUAGUCAUAAAGGUGACAAGCUCUGCCGAGAUCAAAGCUGUGAUAACAUAUUUUUUGAGCCGUAAAAAAGCUUUUCAUGGCAUAAUUAAGCUGUACCGUUAAGAGAACGUGAAAAUGUUGCACAUCGAAUGUACGUGAAGCUGAGAACAUCACGACAUCACGGACAGACCUUAACAGAAGUCUUGUAACUACUACUGGACAAAAAUGUUCAUUGUUAUACAUUCAGCCAGCAUCAUUUUUAUUAUUAUUAAUAUUUAAAACCAGGUAGUCCUAAAAUUAUUGACCUGAUAAUGAACUGUUGGAAUUGA
Long non-coding RNA from Dendroctonus ponderosae (mountain pine beetle), 486 nucleotides. RefSeq lists it as uncharacterized. The transcript is spliced from 2 exons. NCBI's taxonomy places the organism in Eukaryota, Metazoa, Arthropoda, Insecta, Coleoptera, Curculionidae. The record is from RefSeq and is a predicted model, not a curated record.